AACGAACGCUGGCGGCAGGCCUAACACAUGCAAGUCGAACGCCGUAGCAAUACGGAGUGGCAGACGGGUGAGUAACACGUGGGAACAUACCCUUCGGUUCGGAAUAACUCAGGGAAACUUGAGCUAAUACCGGAUACGUCCGCGAGGAGAAAGAUUCAUCGCCGGAGGAUUGGCCCGCGUCUGAUUAGCUUGUUGGUGAGGUAACGGCUCACCAAGGCGACGAUCAGUAGCUGGUCUGAGAGGAUGAUCAGCCACAUUGGGACUGAGACACGGCCCA
Molecule: ribosomal RNA, 277 nt
Filed under: uncultured bacterium
Lineage: Bacteria
Description: partial 16S ribosomal RNA
Rfam family: Bacterial small subunit ribosomal RNA
Source: RNAcentral